GAUGAACGCUGGCGGCGUGCCUAAUACAUGCAAGUCGAGCGACGCGGGGACGGGGGAGUAAAACGUGUGGAACCUCCUAUAAGGCUGGGGUAACUUAGGGAAACCGUAGCUAAAACGGAAUCUUAUCGCUGGUUCCGUGCUGCAUUAGCUGGUUGGUAAGGUAACGGCUUACCAAGGCCACGAUGCAUAGCCGACCUGAGAGGGUGAUCGGCCACACUGGAACUGAGACACGGUCCAGACUCCUACGGGAGGCAGCAGUAGGGAAUCUUCCGCAAUGGGCGAAAGCCUGACGGAGCAACGCCGCGUGAGUGAUGAAGGCCUUCGGAUCGUAAAACUCUGUUAUUAGGGAAGCGGUACCUAAUCAGAAAGCCACGGCUAACUCCGUGCCAGCCGCCGCGGUAAUUC
This 405-nucleotide ribosomal RNA is filed under the name uncultured bacterium. Its description in RNAcentral is "partial 16S ribosomal RNA". It matches the Rfam family "Bacterial small subunit ribosomal RNA", at positions 28 to 526 of the family's 1533-position model. The record is from RNAcentral.